Molecule: non-coding RNA, 45 nt
Filed under: Schistosoma mansoni
Lineage: Eukaryota; Metazoa; Platyhelminthes; Trematoda; Strigeidida; Schistosomatidae
Source: RNAcentral
AUCCAGCUGACGAGUUUCAAAUAGGACGGAACGUGCUUUCUUGAU